RNAcentral lists this long non-coding RNA (528 nucleotides) under Musa acuminata (dwarf banana). Its description in RNAcentral is "long non-coding RNA (MACU_LNC005346)". Lineage: Eukaryota; Viridiplantae; Streptophyta; Magnoliopsida; Zingiberales; Musaceae. The record is from RNAcentral.
GCCGUUGACGCCAGCGGCCUUGCCGUUGACGGGUACGACACUAUCCAUCUGGUGGAAUCGCGCGUCCAUCGAAGUCGCGUACUCCAGAUCGAGGUAAGGAUCCACAUCUGAAAAGAAGUAGUCCGCUGAUUUAAGAUCCGGCGCUCCCGUCAAGCCCUUGGAGUGAGCAUGGCCAAGGUUCGGGAGAAUCCAUGAGGCAUCGGCCCCCGCGUCGUUCUCGUCUUCCUCGUUGUUGCCGUCGCCGGCGCAAACUGCCGCGCCGAACGGGAACGCAGCGGCGGCCGAGGAUGGCUUGACGUGAGCGGCGAGGGGCUCCAGGAAGGGGACGAUGGGGACUCGCUCGUGGCGGCGGGCGAGGGGGUUGGCGGAAUGGAUGUCGGCGUCGCAGGACUCGCAAAGGGCAGCGGCGUCGGCCUUGCAGGUGACGACGGCAGGCGCCUGCUCACACACCGCACACAACCACACGCGCUCGUGGCCGGAAGGGAGUCGGUUCGCCUCGUGCACCCGCGCGUCGCACCCCCCGCACAG